RNAcentral lists this ribosomal RNA (450 nucleotides) under uncultured bacterium. Its description in RNAcentral is "partial 16S ribosomal RNA". It matches the Rfam family "Bacterial small subunit ribosomal RNA", at positions 354 to 796 of the family's 1533-position model. The record is from RNAcentral.
GUGGGGAAUUUUGGACAAUGGGCGCAAGCCUGAUCCAGCAAUGCCGCGUGUGUGAAGAAGGCCUUCGGGUUGUAAAGCUCUUUCGGCGGGGAAGAAAUGGCACGCUCUAACAUAGCGUGUUGAUGACGGUACCCGCAUAAGAAGCACCGGCUAACUACGUGCCAGCAGCCGCGGUAAUACGUAGGGUGCGAGCGUUAAUCGGAAUUACUGGGCGUAAAGCGUGCGCAGGCGGUUUCGUAAGACAGAGGUGAAAUCCCCGGGCUCAACCUGGGAAUGGCCUUUGUGACUGCGAGGCUAGAGUGUGACAGAGGGGGGUAGAAUUCCACGUGUAGCAGUGAAAUGCGUAGAGAUGUGGAGGAAUACCGAUGGCGAAGGCAGCCCCCUGGGUUACUACUGACGCUCAUGCACGAAAGCGUGGGGAGCAAACAGGAUUAGAAACCCUAGUAGUCC